This 102-nucleotide ribosomal RNA is filed under the name uncultured bacterium. RNAcentral describes it as "partial 16S ribosomal RNA". It matches the Rfam family "Bacterial small subunit ribosomal RNA", at positions 1384 to 1482 of the family's 1533-position model. The record is from RNAcentral.
UACACACCGCCCGUCGCACCAUGGGAGCGGGUUUCACCAGAAGUAGCUAGCCUAACCUGGCGAAGGAGGGCGGUUACCACGGUGAGAUUCGUGACUGGGGUG